This 140-nucleotide ribosomal RNA is filed under the name uncultured bacterium. RNAcentral describes it as "partial 16S ribosomal RNA". It matches the Rfam family "Bacterial small subunit ribosomal RNA", at positions 354 to 509 of the family's 1533-position model. The record is from RNAcentral.
UGGGGGAAUAUUGCACAAUGGGGGAAACCCUGAUGCAGCGACGCCGCGUGAAGGAAGAAGUAUCUCGGUAUGUAAACUUCUAUCAGCAGGGAAGAUAGUGACGGUACCUGACCUAAGAAGCCCCGGCUAACUACGUCGCC